This 975-nucleotide unclassified non-coding RNA is filed under the name Leishmania donovani. RNAcentral's name for it is "gene:LdHU3.23.1470(CDS-product:hypothetical_prote in_conserved)". Lineage: Eukaryota; Euglenozoa; Kinetoplastea; Trypanosomatida; Trypanosomatidae. The record is from RNAcentral.
CGUGACUGCUACGGCUGCGCGCACGACGAGAGAACCAGCUAGGCCCGAGCAAGGCUCGCGCCGUCACACCACAAAACACCACCACCUCGAACCGAAGUUGCGACGAAGGGGUGCUUUAGCGGCGUCCUCUAGCUCACAUCCACACGCAGAGAGACACCGAAAACCGCAACAACAGUUGCGGCGGCUUUGCUUUGGUGCGGAGCGCGCCGGCCCCUCUCUUUCUCUCUACCUUUUCACCUCCGUGGCUGGAACUCCGCGCCUAUCCACAAGCUACCCAGGCGCGCGCACACACACACACACACACACACACACAUAGCUGUCGGUGCAUGCGAUUUGGUGCGCUUGAGUGCUUGGAAGUACAACCAGGAGAGUACAGCAAAAAUGUUCUGCUCAUCCGUGCCGCUGAGGUCCCGCAUCCCGGACAUUGGCCACCAAACCACCGCCACCCUGAAGUGGGCCACCUACACUUUCUGGUACCUUCUAGAUCCCAUACUGCGCCGUCAUCACCGGUACUACCGGCGUAAGGUACAGCUGGAUCGCUUUCUGGAGCGGAACAGCAUUGUGGCGAACUCGAUGAUCGGCGUGAUUCUCGGAGUCACGGUGUACUUCAGCGUUGUCUGCGGUGUCCUGCUGCCGCCGGCAGUCGGGGCGAAGGAGCGCACAAUGAAGGAGAACGCACGCGAGGUGCUCAACUUGAUGGAGUGCGACACGUCCAAAGAGUUGCCGGCGUACCAGCUCAUGCGCGUGAAGCGAGAGAUCAUCGGCAAGCUGCACGCCGUCGCGGACGAGGCGGAAGUGCGGCGCCAACGAGAGGAGGCAGCAAAGUUGAGUGAGCUGCUCAAGAGUCUUUGCUGAAGUCGUGGGUAUGCGUAUGCAUGUGUGUCUAUCUUGUGCGUGGCGAUGUGUGUGCGGCCCGAAAGAUGUGGAUGGCUGGGGCGCAGUAUGCGUUCACACGCUCGGUUUUGUACGGUGAAG